AACGCGAAGAACCUUACCUGGGUUUGACAUCCUCUGACAUCCGUAGAGAUACGGCUUCUGUAGCAAUACAGCAGAGAGACAGGUGCUGCAUGGCUGUCGUCAGCUCGUGUGGUGACAUGUUGGGUUAAGUCCCGCAACGAGCGCAACCCUUGUCCUUAGUUGCCAGCAUUAAGUUGGGCUCUCUAAGGAGACUGCCGUGGUUAACACGGAGGAAGGUGGGGAUGACGUCAAGUCCUCAUGGCCUUUAUAUCCAGGGCGACACACGUGAUACAAUGGACGGUACAGAGGGAAGCGAAACCGCGAGGUGGAGCCAAUCUCAAAAAGCCGUUCUCAGUUCGGAUUGGAGUCUGCAAUUCGACUCCAUGAAGUUGGAAUCGCUAGUAAUCGCGGAUCAGCACGCCGCGGUGAAUACGUUCCCGGGCCUUGUA
Molecule: ribosomal RNA, 428 nt
Filed under: uncultured delta proteobacterium
Lineage: Bacteria; Deltaproteobacteria
Description: bacterial SSU rRNA
Rfam family: Bacterial small subunit ribosomal RNA
Source: RNAcentral